CUUUCUUGCUGACGAGUGGCGGACGGGUGAGUAAUGCUUGGGAAUCUGGCUUAUGGAGGGGGAUAACGACGGGAAACUGUCGCUAAUACCGCGUAUUAUCGGAAGAUGAAAGUGCGGGACUGAGAGGCCGCAUGCCAUAGGAUGAGCCCAAGUGAGAUUAGGUAGUUGGUGGGGUAAAUGCCUACCAAGCCUGCGAUCUCUAGCUGGUCUGAGAGGAUGACCAGCCACACUGGAACUGAGACACGGUCCAGACUCCUACGGGAGGCAGCAGUGGGGAAUAUUGCGCAAUGGGGGGAACCCUGACGCAGCCAUGCCGCGUGAAUGAAGAAGGCCUUAGGGUUGUAAAGUUCUUUCGGUAUUGAGGAAGGUUGAUGUGUUAAUAGCACAUCAAAUUGACGUUAAAUACAGAAGAAGCACCGGCUAACUCCGUGCCAGCAGCCGCGGUAAUACGGAGGGUGCGAGCGUUAAUCGGAAUAACUGGGCGUAAAGGGCACGCAGGCGGUUAUUUAAGUGAGGUGUGAAAGCCCCGGGCUUAACCUGGGAAUUGCAUUUCAGACUGGGUAACUAGAGUACUUUAGGGAGGGGUAGAAUUCCACGUGUAGCGGUGAAAUGCGUAGAGAUGUGGAGGAAUACCGAAGGCGAAGGCAGCCCCUUGGGAAUGUACUGACGCUCAUGUGCGAAAGCGUGGGGAGCAAACAGGAUUAGAUACCCUGGUAGUCCACGCUGUAAACGCUGUCGAUUUGG
Molecule: ribosomal RNA, 744 nt
Filed under: uncultured Haemophilus sp.
Lineage: Bacteria; Pseudomonadati; Pseudomonadota; Gammaproteobacteria; Pasteurellales; Pasteurellaceae
Description: bacterial SSU rRNA
Rfam family: Bacterial small subunit ribosomal RNA
Source: RNAcentral